RNAcentral lists this ribosomal RNA (301 nucleotides) under Ice core clone 147-12. RNAcentral's name for it is "SSU rRNA". It matches the Rfam family "Eukaryotic small subunit ribosomal RNA", at positions 601 to 907 of the family's 1831-position model. The record is from RNAcentral.
AUAUUUAAGUUGUUGCAGUUAAAAAGCUCGUAGUUGGAUCUUGGGUCGUAAGGGUCGGUCCGCCUACUCGGUGUGCACCUGCCCUUCCGUCCCUUUUGUCGGCGGCGUGCUCCUGGCCUUAAUUGGCUGGGUCGCGGUUCCGGCGCUGUUACUUUGAAAAAAUUAGAGUGCUCAAAGCAAGCUUACGCUCUGAAUACAUUAGCAUGGAAUAACACGAUAGGACUCUGGCCUAUCUUGUUGGUCUGUAGGACUGGAGUAAUGAUUAAGAGGGACAGUCGGGGGCAUUCGUAUUUCAUUGUCA